AUCCACUCGAUGAGUCCAAAAUAGGACGAAACGCAUGUCCUUGAU
This 45-nucleotide non-coding RNA is filed under the name Schistosoma mansoni. Lineage: Eukaryota; Metazoa; Platyhelminthes; Trematoda; Strigeidida; Schistosomatidae. The record is from RNAcentral.